Molecule: long non-coding RNA, 410 nt
Filed under: Nicotiana benthamiana
Lineage: Eukaryota; Viridiplantae; Streptophyta; Magnoliopsida; Solanales; Solanaceae
Description: long non-coding RNA (NBEN_LNC014510)
Source: RNAcentral
CUAAAUUGUUUAACAUAGCCUAUGUUUUAGCUCAACUUAAAGAUGGGUUCCUAUUGUAAAUGUUGAAUUAAAUACAAAAAUUAGCUCUAAUAGUGACUUUAAUGUCUCACAGGAGUUUAACAAAUAAAUGAAGAUUUAUGAUGGUAAUCAAGUGAAAAAGGGAGUUAAACGACGAAAAGUGGAGCAGCAACAUUUUGACAGAGGAAGACCCCACUAGCGCGGGCUAUGCUGGUUAUGCGCUCCCACGCUAGUUCAGAAAUCCUGCGCAGAAUGAAACCUCACUAGCGCAGGUCGUGCGCUCUCGCGCUAGUCCCGUCCGGAAAGGCAAUUAUUGAGGGAUACAAUUGGCAAAUUGAGUUUAAUCCACUAAAACUAUAAUAAAGCAAAAAUUCCACUAAGAAAACAUGAUC